CUAUGAAAUAGCAUGCACUUUGACAUGUCUGGACAUUUAGCUAUGAGUCACUAUUCCAGACAGAGGUUUCUCCAUUACCCUUAGCCCUGGAGAAUAGAUAGCAAAUAGCAAAAUCACAGUCCACAGCAGAGAGGCAGCCUAACUGAGAAAUAAAU
Pipistrellus kuhlii (Kuhl's pipistrelle) is the source of this 155-nucleotide long non-coding RNA. RefSeq lists it as uncharacterized. The transcript has 4 exons. The record is from RefSeq and is a predicted model, not a curated record. NCBI's taxonomy places the organism in Eukaryota, Metazoa, Chordata, Mammalia, Chiroptera, Vespertilionidae.